GCAGACCCCUCGUGCGGCGCCCAUCUCGCUGAACUCCCCCAGGGCCGGAAGGCAGCAAGGGCAGGCGGGCUCUGGGCGGGUGUGCGAGGGGUCCUACGU
RNAcentral lists this signal recognition particle RNA (99 nucleotides) under Actinomycetes bacterium. RNAcentral describes it as "Actinobacteria bacterium (soil metagenome) signal recognition particle sRNA small type". It matches the Rfam family "Bacterial small signal recognition particle RNA". From Rfam's summary of the family: The signal recognition particle (SRP) is a universally conserved ribonucleoprotein involved in the co-translational targeting of proteins to membranes. Archaeal SRP consists of a 7S RNA and homologues of the eukaryotic SRP19 and SRP54 proteins. The record is from RNAcentral. Lineage: Bacteria; Bacillati; Actinomycetota; Actinomycetes.